AUACGGAGGGUGCAAGCGUUAUUCGGAAUUAUUGGGCGUAAAGAGCGCGUAGGCGGCCUGUCAAGUCAGGUGUGAAAUCCCGGGGCUCAACCCCGGAAGCGCAUUUGAUACUGUAGGGCUUGAGUAUGGGAGAGGGAAGUGGAAUUCCUGGUGUAGCGGUGAAAUGCGUAGAUAUCAGGAGGAACACCGGUGGCGAAGGCGGCUUCCUGGACCAAUACUGACGCUCAUGCACGAAAGCGUGGGUAGC
RNAcentral lists this ribosomal RNA (247 nucleotides) under uncultured bacterium. Its description in RNAcentral is "partial 16S ribosomal RNA". It matches the Rfam family "Bacterial small subunit ribosomal RNA", at positions 523 to 769 of the family's 1533-position model. The record is from RNAcentral.